CAAAAGGAUCCAAGAAAGUGCUAGCACCUAAUGCAGAAGACCAAGUUGGUAGAAUAACUAGGUAGAAGACAAAGGAACUAUCCUUAGCUGAGAAAGAUCUACAUGGUUCAACUACAAAUACAGAAGAGCACACAUUGAUUUUUGCCAAUUGUCCUGCACAACAUGAUGACGAGAUUCAAAUCUGUGAUGAAGGCCAAACAGAUGCCAUGACAGAUAAAUGGAUAAGGGGAAAAAGUAUGGGCAUGCAAUUGGAACGGAUAAGCCGAGGCUUAAACACAGAUUCCACUGGUCAUCACUGAAGGCAAGAGACGUCCAGAGUUAGAAAAGAUCAAUGAUCUGCAAAAAGGAAUAGAUGAUACUAAUGCUCUCCUUCUCUUUAGCCUCAAUAAGAAGUUGGUCGAUUCAUUUUAGUGUGGUCCUUGUAUCUCAUAUUGCUGUUGUAUGGCCCUGAUUUUGCUGUCCUUUUGGUACUGUCCUUAGCACUCUACUUGAUGCUUGUUUGAUGAAACAUGAUGCUAGUUUUGAAAAUUUUGAAGGGCUUGGUUCUUGAU
Molecule: long non-coding RNA, 551 nt
Filed under: Zea mays
Lineage: Eukaryota; Viridiplantae; Streptophyta; Magnoliopsida; Poales; Poaceae
Description: drought-responsive long non-coding RNA
Source: RNAcentral